This 100-nucleotide signal recognition particle RNA is filed under the name Lachnospiraceae bacterium. RNAcentral's name for it is "signal recognition particle sRNA small type". It matches the Rfam family "Bacterial small signal recognition particle RNA". From Rfam's summary of the family: The signal recognition particle (SRP) is a universally conserved ribonucleoprotein involved in the co-translational targeting of proteins to membranes. Archaeal SRP consists of a 7S RNA and homologues of the eukaryotic SRP19 and SRP54 proteins. Lineage: Bacteria; Bacillati; Bacillota; Clostridia; Lachnospirales; Lachnospiraceae. The record is from RNAcentral.
AAUUCGGUCUUGCGCAAUGGAAAUCUGCGAACCGUGUCAGGUUGGGAACAAAGCAGCACUAAGCGGAACUUUCCAUGUGCCGUAAGGUCACCGGGUGGAG